Phoenix dactylifera (date palm) is the source of this 7712-nucleotide non-coding RNA. NCBI's taxonomy places the organism in Eukaryota, Viridiplantae, Streptophyta, Magnoliopsida, Arecales, Arecaceae. The record is from RefSeq and is a predicted model, not a curated record.
UCUUAGGAAAUCCGACCUAUCUAUCUUGCACGCAUGGUGGCUCUCUUCCACUCGCGAUUAAUCUAUUCCCAUGAUCCCCGAAGCACCGCUAUUUCCCUAGUCUCUCUCAAUCAUGAUCCAACUCUUCCCUCGACUCGAUUCCCGCCGUCGGCAACCUUCUCCCUCUCUUCCCUUCAUCAUCCGAGUCCCUUUCAUUGCCGAUCCCUUCCGUUCGUUGGAGAUCUUCUCACUACUACCUACCCUCUGCCGGAGAUCUCUUCGCCACUCUCUUCGCCUGGGAUUUUCUUUUCUUGAUGGGGAAGUAGAAAAAAGAAUUGAGUUUUGAUCGAGUCUUGCUGCUGCUUUCGAAAAGGAACAGAGAGUCAGCUUCUCUCCCUCGCUUGCUUCGUUACCUGUCUCAACGUUCCAUCCCAUAUACGCAGACUGAAUUUUUCACUUGCCGAGGUAUUGAGGUCAAAAAAUUGAAGGAGCCUCAUACAUGCUCAUCUGUGAACAAGUGUGGCAACAAGAUAGCUACAUAAUUUUGGAUACGUGACAAGAUGAUUGAUUGGACAAGAAAAGAGGGUGACCUGUAACCUAUUAAAAUAGGAAGGAGAUUGUUACAGUUCCAUCAUCUUAAGCUUCUAUAUCAUAGAGUUUGGUGAGGAAAGGAGCUUGCAUUGUCCAUGAUUCAUGGAAUUGGGUAGAUUUGUUGAGAGAAUGGAGGAUUUUAUGGAAGAGCUUUUGAGAAGAAACCGAGGUAGUCUGCUAAAGCUAAAGUUAGAUGUGGUUGGUGACAAGCAUUACUUACACCACUUCUUUAUUUCUUUUGGGGCUUGUAGUACGGGCUUCUUAGCCGGCUGUAGAUCUUUUGUAGGCCUGAAUGGUUACCACUUGAACAGAAAGUUCCGAAGUAUGAUGAUGGCUACUAUAGCACUUGAUGGAAAUAAUAGUUUAUUUCCAGUUGCCUUUGGUAUUGUAGAAUCUAAAAAUGGUGAUAGCUAGACUUGGUUUUUUAGAUGUACUUAAAGAAUCAAUUGAAACUCUAGAAGAUCUAAUACUUAUGUUAGAUUGACAAAAAAGACUAGAAGAAGCAGUGAAAUAUAUAUACCCCGAAGUAGAACAUAAAAAAUGCAUGAGGCACCUGCAUCAAAACUUCCAAACAAAGUUCUUAUGAUAGUGGUUUAAAAUCAAGGUAUAGAAGGCUGCAAAGACAUUCACAAAAGGUCAACAUGAUAAUAUCAUGGAUCAAAUUAAGUAGGCUAGCUUGGAGGUAUUCAAGUACCUUAGUGCUGAAAAUAUUAGUUUAUGGAGAAGAUCUCAAUUUGGCAUCACAACUAAGUGCCCGCACAUAAUGAACAACCUUUCAUAGUCAUUCAAUGCUUGGAUUUCUGAGGUUAGAUAUAGACCAGUUUUUGAUUCAUUCGAUGUUGUAAAGAAAAAAAUUAUGGUGAAGAAGGAAACUAGAAGGAGAAUGGUUGCCCACUGGAAGGAAAAUUUAAUUCCUAUGCUAAUGAAGUAUAUAAGAGAAAUUAGCCUUAACUUAGUUAUUUAUGAUGUCUAUAGAACUAGUGAUUCAAAGUAGAAAUUGUGAGUACCCAUAUGGGUGUGUGUUUAGUCCCACAUCGGUUAUGCACUAGGUAGAUCUUGGUAUUUAUAUAAGACCUAAUGGAUGAAAGUUGAUAUUGGAUACAAGGUGUUGCCUUCGAAGCUCUACCUAAAAAAGAACUAAUGUGAAUACACCAAAGAUGCACAAAUGUAAGCAUUGUGGUGAGCUUAGGCAUCAUAUAAAGACUUGUAAAAAUCUAGUAGUGGAUAAAUCUCAAGUUUUAGUAUCCUUAUUUUUUGCACCAAAGAAGCCUAGGAGUAAAAAUCUAGUAGUGGAUAAAUCUCAAGUUUUAGUAUCCUUAUCUUUUGCACCAAAGAAGCCUAGGAGGUAACACAUAGCACUAAUCUGACUUAAUGAUGUUUAUCCUAUAUCAAUUGCUUAUCACCGAAAUAUUGCGGCUUAAGGGAAAUGGCUCAAGAAGAAGAGUGUCAACCAUAGGAGAUACAUAUGCAAUGUUCAUAGCACCAAGAGGGGGAAAAAAGCAAAGGAAGACCUUGCAAGCAAGCUAGAAGAAUGGAAACUAUUGAUGGAGAUGGUAAUUCCUACCCACAAUCUUGAUUUGUAUAUGACUAGAUAUACCUAUUCUCAACUUUGCACUUUAUUUGCUUUCAUGUUAUUAGGAUCACUGUUAUAAUUGUUAUUAAACAUAAUUUGUUGGUUGAUAUAGAGUUAAAUCUCAUUCUUAGUUUUUUUUUUCCCUAAUUGUAGAUUUGAUCUCAUGUUUUGCUAGAGUAGCGGAGAUUAUGUUGGAUCUUGAUUUGAUUUAGUUCUAGAAUGGCAAUUUGUUCUGUUCUACAAUGAUGAAGUCAUGGUUCAGGAAGUUCUUUUGAUUGAAGAAAUGUGAAUAAUUUUUUCCUAUGUAUUUUUGCAUUAUGUGGAUAAGGAAACAAUAUUUUCUUGCAAUGAAGUUAAACUUCUCAUGCUUUUGGUUGUUAUGUAUGAGCUGCAAUUCUAAUUAAGCAGCAAUUCUAAUUAAUCAAGUAAUUUCAGAUCUUGCCUAGCUGAAAAUUAUUUAUCAGCAAGUUCUUUAAUGUUCAACUGGUGUAAAAUGCUAUAGCACCUGCUCACAUUUUGAAUGGAAUAUACAAAACCACCCUCAAAUCCAAGAUUUCUUCCUCAAGUCCAACUCCAACAGAAUGUUGACCUGUCAAAAAUGUCGACCAGAAGGGAGAGCUCGAAAAUGCUACUGAUUGACUUUGAAGGUCUUAGAAGGUUGGCGCUCAUGACUGCUGGAAGGAAGUGCAGAUGUCACAUGGUGAAAGAAUAUACAAACUGCUGUUGUACCAAAAAAAAAAAAAAGAAUAUACAAACCCGACUCGCCAUGAUAUUUCCCUUACACUGGCCGAUUACAGGCCUUCUGAAUUUAUAUCUAGUAUUAGAUCACGUAACUCCGGGGACACAGAAACAAGUACAAGUUCCAACAUGCUAUAUGCAAGCUGCUUAAUACAUUCAGUAGACUACAGAUGCAAUAUGUUUCCAUAGAUUAGAAAACAGUUUUAUCUUUGAUUCACAUUAAAUCAAACAUGCCAUUGUUUUUAGAUGAGCUGACCUGGAAAAAGUAAUACAUAUCCUUUGUACAACGCCUGUAUUGACUCCCAAACCAAAAUAUCAGAUGAGACUCUGAUAUUGUCUGUCUAAAAAUAGCUCUAGCACUCAUUGUGUUAACGCUGUAGUCUUGCAAUGGCAUCUUCAAAAGUUCCUCUGUUUGUUGUGGUUCUGUCCAUUCAAAACAUGCAUGGAAACAAAAGAAUGACUUGGCUGUGGGAAUUGCAAACCAGGUAACGUGGAUAGUGUUUAAUCUUUUUCUUUCAUUUUGUUGGUUUUUGGGCUUCUGAUCGGUUAUGUACGAAAACUAGGUACCAUAUGCUUACAGGAAUGCAGAUAUAGAACAGGAUCAAUGCCUAAAAACUAUUAGGACCGUGCAGAUAGGUCAGAUCAGAAAAUGUAUGAUGCCUAUUAUGCGCUAACUAAGAAACACUUUAACCGAUAGAAAAAUCAUAUUUACCCACAUUCAGAAUCUGUACACGAACACUAUCUCACCAAGUAUAAUUUUCCUAACAUCACUUGUUCUACAAGCUGCUUCAAGCUACAGCGCGAAAUAGCUCAGUCUGGUCGCCUAGGCCAGAGAACCUGCUUUGAGUAAAAGCAAUUAUAAAUAAAAUUCAGGACAACUUAUUAUUUUCCAAGGAUAUAAUGAAACUUCAGAGAAAUUUAGAUGAUAUCGGCAUAUAGCAAACUUUCAUGUUUCCUCCAAUGAUUCACUAGUGAACUUUCACCACUAAGUGAUUUUCUUUUUCUCCUCCAAGUAGGCAGACUGCACAAGUUAUAUAAUUACCCAAAAGGACAUGAUAAAACACAUUUAAGAAAAGUGGAGAAAUGCAAAAAUGGACUCAUGGUAAGGAAAAGGCAAAGUUGACUUUCAUUUCUUCAUUACCAUGCAUGGAAAACCCAGUCAUAAACAAUUACAGAAUUGAUUACAUUAAAAUAGAUUUUGUUUUCUGCGUGAAUACCCUUCUAAAUGUUGUGCCAACCUAAAUGCUUUGGAUUACUAUUGUAAUUGGAACUCUUUGGGUUUUAAGACUCCACCCUUUGUCAACUCCACUUUUUGACAAAUUUUCAAAUAUAUCCUGACUUCCCAUUCCUUGUAACUCUACAUCUAUUCUUUUUUUCCCUUUUUUUUCCUACAUCCACAAGAAUCCCCCAGCUAGAGCCAUCAAAUCUAGAUUGUGCCCUAAUUUUUGUCUUUUUCCAAAUACAGGAGAUACUCUCCAUUUCUUUUUAUUUUUAUUUGUUUUCUUUUUAUUUAAUUGGUGUUUGUUGACCUCAUAUGUGCAUUGUACAUGCACUGAAGUCUCGUUCAAAAUCAUUGAAACUCAUGUUUAAAGGUUUUAGAACUUCCUAUUAUAUUCAUUGAGUAGUCAUAGGAUAGAGAAUUCAAUGGAUUAAUGUAUUAUUAGAUUUCAUUUAUUAUUUCAAUGUAUACAAUCUUCUUAAUUUGGAUCCAUGUUGUUUAUACGCCAUCUCAGCAAUCUAGCUAGCAGCUGAGAGCAAACGCCAUAUGGAUCAGGUUUGAUGGAACCAAAGUAGAUGAGGGUCAUGUACUCUUACUAAACUGGGUAAUAGUUCAGCUGCGAUAUAUUUCAUUAAGUGAGAAGGCACGGGCUGAAAAAGAAGGGUUUGGUCAUGGUAUUGAUAAGUAUGACGAGAACUCAAGACUUGGUCAUAAUUAACCAUAAUACAUUAGAGUAGAUUGAGGCGAUUGAAGUGGUCUCAGAGAUACUCCCAAGUACAAGAAUUCAUAGGUCAUAAUAAAAGAGAUGGCCAAUAUAAGCUAUGUCAGGAUAAGUAAGACCGAUGAGAUUAUUGGUCUAACAGUUGAUGCAGGGCACACUACAGUAAAAGGGGGAAACGCCGACGCUUAAAUGCCGACGCUAUUGAAAAGCGUCGGUAAAUUCUUCUCCCGCGCUAAAUUUUACCGACGCUUUUAGGGAGUGUGGGAAAAUUGAGGGAUUAGACGACGCUUAAAAGCGUCGUCGUAGACUGAAGCCAAACGACGCUUUAAAGCGUCGUUGUUGAUGGCCUAAGACGACGCGUAUAUGCGUGGUUAAUCCAAACGGUAAAACGACGCUUAUAAGCAUCGCCGAAGGCACCUUAAGACCCACCGUCCCGCAGACUUGCCCUAGCUACUCCCGAGCCCCCUUUUUCUCCUCCUCUCCGGCGCUGAAGCCACCGAACCCAGCGGCCUUCGUCUUCCUCCUCUCGGCGUUGCCUUAGCCCCCAUCUUCCUCCUCUCCGGUGCGGAUCGUCCGACUCCUACCUCCUCCUCCUCCCUCCUCUCCGGCGUCGACCGACCGACCCCAACCCGCUCCGCCCUCCCGAGGUAGUUUUCUUCUCCUCCCUCCUCUCCCUCCUUCUCGCUUGUUCUGCUCCCCACCGUUUCUGUUCAACCGUUUCCCUCCCGCUUUCGGCAAGUAAAACGCUAGCCCUCGUGUUCCGUUCCUUCCACCGUCUCUCCCUCUUCAGUCCCACUCGUCGUGACCUCUCUCUCUCUCGGCUUCCAUCUUUCUUCGCGAAAUCCCUAAGAGAAUUUUUAGGGUUUCGUUGCGCCCGAUCCGGGCCGGCGUAUGAGGAGGGGCUUCCAUCCCGAUCACCGCCCGGGGCGGCCGCCAUUCCGGCCGGUGCUGGGCCACUUCGCUAGGGAAUGCCCUAACGUGAAGUGAGAUCUACCGUUGCUAAUCCUUCCAUCCUUUUUCGGCCUUUUAAUUUUGAUCUUUUUCCCAUCUAAUAUAUGUGUUCUUGGUUGCUGAUGAUGGGGUUUAUCCUUUUUUUUUACAUUUCUUUCUUUAAAAAUGGAUUCUGGAAAUGGUUUUCGUUUCUCGUGUUUUGCUUUGGUUUCAAUAGAUUGUGGCUUAUAUUGGGCUUUUGUGCUGAGCUUCGAGGGAAAACAGAAAUCAAAUGGUCUAUGUAUACACUCUUUGAGGGUCUAUCUCUUACACCCCUCUCUCUCUCUCUUCUCCGCGACCCACAUAUGCCUUCUGUUUGAUUGUUUUGUUUCGUGUAGUUUGAUCUUUGGUGUAUUAGUUCUUCGUAAUCUUUCUGGUAUUUUGUUUUUGUGGCUAUUAAUUAAUCAGUUAUGUUCUUGUUUUUUUUUUUGUCUAUUUUGGGGUAAAUUUUGCGCAGUAAGAAUUCCCCUUAUUUUUUUUGUUCAAGUGAAGUGGAUUGUUUUAUGCGUGCCUUCUGUCUGAUAGUUGUGAUGAGAUUGGCUCAAGUUUAGGAUAUUUUUUUAAUGGAAAUACGUAGUUAGUUGAUUACAUGCAUAUGCUGAAGGUGAUGCCUUGCUUUGAUUGUGGCUUGUGUCUUUGUGUUCUGCUACCUUUUCAUGAAGUGCUAUUAUUUUUUAAUAUGGAAAGUUGGGGCAUGGUGUUCUUUUGGGUCACUUGUCGACAUGAGUGCUGUAAACCUGAGUACUGUUAAGUUGGCUGUGGGAGAAUUCUCUGAAGCCAAACAUAAUUGAUAUCAGUCGUGGAUGCCUUUUAUGCUAGUAUUCUCUGUUCUUCAGUUUAUUUACUUGUUCUUCUUCCUGUUGGGAAAGAUAAAAUCCUUUUGAAGUUUAUUGUAUUGUUUUUAUUGACCACAUCAUUUGAGCACUACAGGAAAAUUGGGAAAAGGCGACCCUUUUUUGCCGACGCUAUCCACAAGCGUCGGGAAAAAAUACCCCAGGCGUCACAUAUCCUCACGCUUCAAAGAAGCGUCGGUGGCUACAUGUGUAUAAAGCAUUUCUGUUGUCCCACCUACACAUGUGAAAAUUUAUGUGUAUAAAUUGGAUAUAUAUACAUGUGUUUGCAUGCAUUUAUGUUCAUAACUCACAUGGAUGCUCUCAGAUAAGCAUAUAGAGGUGCCAUGGAUCAGGAAAUCACCAUAUAUUGAAAGAUUGGUAGAUGAGCUUGUUCUUUUGUGCAAAGAAUCUGCAGUAAGAAAGAGCCGUGAAGUUAUCCGCAAUCACAUUUUACAAUUACUGUUGUUGAUUCAGAAGUCACUUGACAGCUAGGAGUGAUGUCUACAGCUUCGGGGUUGUCCUUCUUGAGCUCUUAACAGGACGCCGGUCUGUGGACAAGAUAUUCUAUAUUUUCUGAUUGUAUCAAUCUUUUUUCUGAAUGGAACAGGCAUGGAGGCAGGGCUUAUGCUUUGUGAUUGCCAGCUUGUCCCAGGAUCACUACAGAUUGGCAUUUAUGGACGACUUUCAUCAAGUCCUUCAAGGUGCCAGAACUUUUUGUUGAGAUUCCUCAAAAUGCUACUAUUGGUUCCUUGAAGUCGCAAGAAUUCUUUCAAUAUCUUUUAGAAUGUUUAAUGACAAUACUCGCCCGAGCAAGGAGCGGAGCAGAGCAGAGCUUAAGAAGACUCCGGUCUGUGGACAAGACUCGCCCGAGCAAGGAGCAGAGCUUGGUUGACUGGGCUCGCCCCAAGCUUAAUGACAAUAUUGUAGAGAUGAUGAUGCCGACCCUUGAUACAUAUUGUAGAUUGUGUACGUAGGAAUUUGACUUGUAUGUUUUUAGAAUGUUUUUGAAGUACAAUGUAAUCAAAUAUGAUAAUAUGAAUGUAAUCAAAGUUCUUGUUUGUGACUCGU